Molecule: RNase P RNA, 333 nt
Filed under: Candidatus Ruminimicrobiellum bubulum
Lineage: Bacteria; Pseudomonadati; Elusimicrobiota; Endomicrobiia; Endomicrobiales; Endomicrobiaceae
Description: RNase P RNA component class A
Rfam family: Bacterial RNase P class A
About the family: Ribonuclease P (RNase P) is a ubiquitous endoribonuclease, found in archaea, bacteria and eukarya as well as chloroplasts and mitochondria. Its best characterised activity is the generation of mature 5'-ends of tRNAs by cleaving the 5'-leader elements of precursor-tRNAs. Cellular RNase Ps are ribonucleoproteins.
Source: RNAcentral
AGCAGAUGGUUCGUGGUCGCUUUACAUUUGUUGUAAAGAGGAAAGUCCGAACUUUACUCUCCUUCGGGAGAAAAACGGUAGUGGGCAACUCCCACAGUCCGCGAGGAUAGAGGUGCGAGCAGAGACGAUUUUUUCUGAAAAGAAAAAAUGUUCCUUAACAAAGGAAUAGCUCUUACUAUAACCAAGGUAAGAGGUGAAACGGCUAAAUCCUUACCGGAAAGCAAGAUAGCAGUUGUUAUCGCUUGACCAUAUAGAGUAAUUUAUAUGGCAGAGAAAUGACCACAAUGUUUACUUGUAAACAUACAGAAUUCGGUGUAUAGCCAUCUGUUUUGU